RNAcentral lists this ribosomal RNA (395 nucleotides) under uncultured Pantoea sp. RNAcentral's name for it is "bacterial SSU rRNA". It matches the Rfam family "Bacterial small subunit ribosomal RNA", at positions 1 to 412 of the family's 1533-position model. Lineage: Bacteria; Pseudomonadati; Pseudomonadota; Gammaproteobacteria; Enterobacterales; Erwiniaceae. The record is from RNAcentral.
UCGGCUUAGAGUUUGAUCAUGGCUCAGAUUGAACGCUGGCGGCAGGCCUAACACAUGCAAGUCGAACGGUAGAGUAGCUUGCUACUUACGAGUGGCGGACGGGUGAGUAAUGUCUGGGGAUCUGCCUGAUGGAGGGGGAUAACUACUGGAAACGGUAGCUAAUACCGCAUAAUGUCGCAAGACCAAAGCGGUUCGUCGCACCAUCAGAUGAACCCAGAUGGGAUUAGCUAGUAGGUAGGGUAAUGGCUUACCUAGGCGACGAUCCCUAGCUGGUCUGAGAGGAUGACCAGCCACACUGGAACUGAGACACGGUCCAGACUCCUACGGGAGGCAGCAGUGGGGAAUAUUGCACAAUGGGCGCAAGCCUGAUGCAGCCAUGCCGCGUGUAUGAAGAA